RNAcentral lists this ribosomal RNA (274 nucleotides) under uncultured bacterium. RNAcentral's name for it is "partial 16S ribosomal RNA". It matches the Rfam family "Bacterial small subunit ribosomal RNA", at positions 523 to 796 of the family's 1533-position model. The record is from RNAcentral.
AUACGGAGGGUGCAAGCGUUAAUCGGAUUUACUGGGCGUAAAGCGUGCGUAGGCGGCUUGUUAAGUCAGAUGUGAAAGCCCCGGGCUCAACCUGGGAACUGCAUUUGAUACUGACAGGCUAGAGUAUGGUAGAGGGAAGUGGAAUUCCGCAUGUAGCGGUGAAAUGCGUAGAUAUGCGGAGGAACACCAGUGGCGAAGGCGACUUCCUGGACCAAUACUGACGCUGAGGUACGAAAGCGUGGGGAGCAAACAGGAUUAGAAACCCCAGUAGUCC